RNAcentral lists this ribosomal RNA (911 nucleotides) under Marinomonas sp. B-DSw2. RNAcentral describes it as "partial 16S ribosomal RNA". The stretch from base 289 to 911 matches the Rfam family "Bacterial small subunit ribosomal RNA", at positions 874 to 1510 of the family's 1533-position model. The record is from RNAcentral. Lineage: Bacteria; Pseudomonadati; Pseudomonadota; Gammaproteobacteria; Oceanospirillales; Oceanospirillaceae.
GGGGUUGUCCUAUUUUAUACACUAGUGCAAAAACCACGGGGGCGCCCCCGUGAAUGCACCCGGUAUUGCCCCGUCGGGCUACUUCACGGGGGGUGUAAUUUCCGGUUAACGGCGAACUCGAAAAAUAAUACGCACCUCCCUGGUGAAGGUGGCUCCGGGGUGAUUACCACGUUUAUGAUCAAAUUGGCGCACAAACUGAUUAGAUACUUUAGAUUUGUCCACGUUUCACUUUCUAGCAUUUGGUUUUUUUUUUUUGCAUUGCAGCAAAAAACAGAAAUACCACACCCCUGAGCACUACUCUAGCCUGCCAAUAUCGAGAAACAUUCCAAGGUUGACCCAACGGGUUUAACAUCCGAUUUAACAACCGCAUACGGGCGCAUAACGUCCAGUAAUUUCAAUUCAAGAUCACUCCUAGAGAUGUCUUGGCCGUUGGGAAAUGUGAGACGGGGGCUGCAUGGUGUUACAUCAAAUAUUGGAAAUGUUGGGGAGUCCUUAACAGCGCAAAAGUUAUCCUUAUCGCCAGCACUUGGGUGGGAACUUAAGGGAGAGUUCCGGUGACAACCCGGAGGAAGGUGGGGACGACGUCAAGUCAUCAUGGGCCUUAGGAGUAGGGCUACACACGUGUUACAAUGGCGUAUACAGAGGGCAGCGAACUCGGGAGGGUAAGCAAAUCCCAAAAAGUACGUCGUAGUCCGGAUUGGAGUCUGCAACUCGACUCCAUGAAGUCGGAAUCGCUAGUAAUCGUGAAUCAGAAUGUCACGGUGAAUACGUUCCCGGGCCUUGUACACACCGCCCGUCACACCAUGGGAGUUGAUUGCUCCAGAAGUAGCUAGCUUAACCUUCGGGAUGGCGGUUACCACGGAGUGGUCAAUGAAGGUAGUGAACUCUGCCUCGUCGCAGCCGACCCCAAA